AUUUGGGUUCUUUGAGGUGGAAUUUUUUUAAAUUAAAAAAUAUAAAAAAUGAAAAGCUUCAGUGCAUGUUGUACUAUAAACAUUUACAGGAAAUAAAUGUGGUAUUUUGUGAUCAUUGGAAAAAUGUAGUACAAAUUAAUAAGGAAUAUAAAUAUGUCCAAGAACGAUUUUCUCAUCCUCAGCAACAAUUUUCAAUCAUUGUUUAAGUCCUCAAGGAACUAACAUUUUCAAGGCAUUUUGCUGGAGGGACAUAAUUGACUGUGACACUCAAGAUGGCUACCAGGUAAGCAGUUCUUAUUUUUUUCUCCAGAUAAAAGUUAACAUUUUGUUUGUCAAAGUACCUUCACAACUUUUUAGUUCUCAUUACCGAAACAUGAGUUUGUGAAGUUUUAAAAAAUAUUGCCCUUUUAAUUUUUUGAUUGCUAUAUACCCCAUUAUGGUCUAAAUAUAAAAAGAGAGGGAAAGUUUAGCUAACCCUCAUUUAGCUUCCACAGUAAGCAAAAAUGUUUAAGGUCGCUCAUCCUCCACAACACCAUUAUCAUUCACCGCAACAAUUGAAGGCCUGUUGCGGUGAAGAUACUCAAUGUUUCAGUAAUGAGAAAAAGACUUAUGAAGGAGGACUGUGCAUUAUAACUUGAUAUUUGCCUUAACUUUUUGAACAGAUUGCCACCUACUAUAAAUGUAAUAUUUAAUUUAAUUAUUUAAUUUUUUACUGUAAAACAAUGUAUUUCUAUGUCUUUUUAAUGAAAUGUUACAUUCAAUCAAGAUGGAUAUUGUACAUUUUGUUACAGGCAAGCAUCAGUUGAAAAGAAAAGGGCAUCAGCGAAAGACAGGCUUGCAAAGUAUAGGGAAAAAAUAUACAGUAAUCCAGUGUUACUUGAGGAGUACAGAAGAAAGGAGAGAGAAAGGUAUCGGAAACGUAAAGAAAAUGGUAAAAUUAAGACUACUCAGGACCUCACAAGUAGACCGCAUGAGAGAAAAAAAAAAAAAAAGUGGAAGAAAAAUUCGGCAAAAUAUUACAGAAAAGAAAAAAGCAAGAGCAAGCACUUCUAGAUCUAACCCUUCAUUAAGUGAGACAGAAAAUUCCUUUGGAAAUGAAGAAAAUAACAGACAGGAACUAGACACAGUGUUGGGAAGGUUACUUUGGAAAUGUAAUAGGUUACAGAUUACAAGUUACCCUGUUUAAAAUGUAAUAGUACUGUAACUUUUUCAAUUACUUUAUUAAAGUAAUGUGACUAAUUACUUGUGUACUUUUUGGUUACUUUUCUAAAUUUGUGAAAAUUAAAGAAUAAAUAAAAGCAUAUACAUCAUCUUAAAUACGGUUAUCUAAUAAGCAUGUGUCAUUCUGUAUAAUAAACUCCUGAAACAUUGGUGUGUUUUUUUUUAACUACUGUCUCUUUGUAUAUGAUGAUAGUUUUCUCAAAAUAAGUAAAAUGCACAUGAAGUGACACAGAGCAGUUCUAGAAAUUAUGUUUAUGUGCUCGUGUACACCUAUAUUUAGGCAGCAGAGGUUGAAAACACUGCGAGCUUCAGUAGGCCUAUGUGUAGUAAAUGAAACCAUGUCUUUGACAUUAAUUUACAGGAGGGGCGGGCUGGGAAAAAAAUUCAGACUGGAAAAUUCAAACUCACACAAACAAAUUCAUGGACAAAACUAUUUUUUGUAUAGACCUGACAUAAAAAAGGUUUAAAUCUUUACUUUGGGGACAUGCAAAAUAAUUUAAAAGUUCUCUCCUGAACUGCACCUUCACUUCCAUUUUUCUCUUCAGUCUCUUUAUUUUGCCCUGUUAUCCAUCUCUCUCAUGACUUUAAUACUCAAGAUUGAAAAAAACUAUACUUUACAAUACUCUACAAUACUACAAUAUCUUCAUAGAAAAAUCCUAAUACUGUACACGAGUCAUGUUUUUCCCUUACAAAAAUUAACCAUGCUUUUAUUAGCCUAUAUAAAAGUCAAUUAACCUUGUUUUUUUUGCAAAUGGAUUUGUAUUUAUUUUUAAAUAAAUACAUUUGUAAAAUAAUGGUUUUGGUUACCACAGUUAAACAAAAGUAAACAUUUUCUCUCCAUUUAUAGUUAAAUAUUAAUGUUAAUUUUCAUAAGGGUUGUGUUGUUGUCUGUCUAGCUCCCCCUAAACCUAUAUAAAAAAUAAAUCUGAAUGUUUUUCAGCUAAAUUACUACUGUAACAUUACAACAGAUAAUAAUGAUGUCCUUUAUAUAGUAUUGUGAGUGAUGACUGAUGAGCAACACACUCAAAAAAAUGAAUUUCCAGUUCUGUUCACUUUACCUAAACAAUUCAUGUUGAAUUAAUGCCAUUGUGGCUAUUUUUCAUUUUAACAUGAUUGCAUCAUGUUAAACUGACUUAAAACUGUCACUCAUUGGUUUAACUUAAAGUUUUCAUUUUAAAAGUACAUGUUUCAAUCACUUAGCUCAGUCAAACCUUUAUGACUGAAUUAAAAAAUAUAUAAUAACUUACAUAAUAUAUAUGCUUUAUU
Molecule: long non-coding RNA, 2487 nt
Filed under: Carassius auratus (goldfish)
Lineage: Eukaryota; Metazoa; Chordata; Actinopteri; Cypriniformes; Cyprinidae
Description: lncRNA (ENSCARG00000029552.1)
Source: RNAcentral